GUGAGGAAUUUUCCGCAAUGGGCGCAAGCCUGAUCCAGUCAUGCCGCGUGAACGAUGAAGGCCUUCGGGUUGUAAAGUUCUUUAGCCGAUGAUUAUAAUGACUGUAGUCGGAAAAUAAGCCCCGGCUAACUUCGUGCCAGCAGCCGCGGUAAUACGAAGGGGGCGAGCGUUAUUCGGAAUCACUGGGCGUAAAGCGUGCGUAGGCGGUCUCGUAAGUUAGGAGUGAAAGCCCAGGGCUCAACCUUGGAAUUGCUCUUAAUACUGCAAGGCUAGAAUCUCGGAGAGGAUAGCGGAAUUUCCAGUGUAGCAGUGAAAUGCGUAGAUAUUGGAAGGAACACCAGUGGCGUAAGCGGCUAUCUGGACGAGUAUUGACGCUGAGGCACGAAAGCGUGGGGAUCAAACAGGAUUAGAUACCCGAGUAGUCC
This 425-nucleotide ribosomal RNA is filed under the name uncultured bacterium. Its description in RNAcentral is "partial 16S ribosomal RNA". It matches the Rfam family "Bacterial small subunit ribosomal RNA", at positions 354 to 796 of the family's 1533-position model. The record is from RNAcentral.